This 440-nucleotide ribosomal RNA is filed under the name uncultured bacterium. Its description in RNAcentral is "partial 16S ribosomal RNA". It matches the Rfam family "Bacterial small subunit ribosomal RNA", at positions 338 to 795 of the family's 1533-position model. The record is from RNAcentral.
CCUACGGGUGGCAGCAGUAGGGAAUAUUGCGCAAUGGGGGAAACCCUGACGCAGCAACGCCGCGUGGGGGAUGAAGGUUUUCGGAUCGUAAACUCCUUUUGUUAGAGAAGAUCAUGACUGUAUCUAACGAAUAAGCACCGGCUCACUCCGUUCCAGCAGCCGCGGUAAUACGGAGGGUGCAAGCGUUACUCGGAAUCACUGGUCGUAAAGAGCGCGUAGGCGGGAUAGCAAGUCAGAUGUGAAAUCCUAUGGCUUAAACAUGGAAAUGCAUUUGAAACUGUUAUUCUAGAGUAUGGGAGAGGUAGGUGGAAUUCUUGGUGUAGGGGUAAAAUCCGUAGAGAUCAAGAGGAAUACUCAUGGCGAAGGCGACUUGCUAGAACAUAACUGACGCUGAGGCGCGAAAGCGUGGGGAGCAAACAGGAUUAGAUACCCUUGUAGUC